Long non-coding RNA from Salarias fasciatus (jewelled blenny), 3360 nucleotides. RefSeq lists it as uncharacterized. The transcript has 2 exons. Lineage: Eukaryota; Metazoa; Chordata; Actinopteri; Blenniiformes; Blenniidae. The record is from RefSeq and is a predicted model, not a curated record.
GCUCGUAGUGGCAGAGUGAAAAUGGCGUAGAGCGGAGGCUGCAGCGAGGAAGGAAGGGCCGACGGGACCUUCUUCUCUCUCCUCGGAGGCGAGCAGCACGGAGCGGGGAGUGAAGAAGGUCCGGCGGUUCGGCUGCCUCCUCACCGACGUGGCCGCCCGCCGCUCAGUGAACCCGGCGCGGCCGCAGAGGAAGCGACGCCCCCCCGGCUUUUGUUUACCAUUGUGUGCAGCUGCGGCUCGGAGCUCAAACAUCUCCGCAUCAUCUCAACCUGCACCAAGGUCGUCUCAGAGCCUCGGUCUGGAAGGAUGUUUCCCUCUCGAUCAGACCCAGCACCAUCAACAUAUCACCCCCACCGCCAGCAGGGCCCGCGGGGGGAAAGCGUCCCGAGUGAGAUGACCUCUUCUGGGCCUCUGGUACACGGGUGUCCUCCUCCUUGCUGUGUCUGGGACGCUGGCCUUCUUUCCUCCACAGCUCCUCCCUCGUGUCCCGACCUGCCUCUGCAGCCUGAGCCUCCUCACUGGCACGACGUGCGCGCCCAUCAUGCCUCUACGUAGCCUUGCAGCGUUUGAAGUGUCUGAGAAGUUAUGGAGCAACAAAUUAGCCUAAAGUCACCAUGAAUUCUGGGUAGGAUUCCUGUCGGGCUGCAUAAAAUCUGAACAAAAAGUAACCCCGAACUCUCUGCAAUUAGAUCAAAGAGGUUCGAUAGCGAACAAAUUACUUGCAGUGAUAUUAAUGACACAAAAUACUGUAGCAAUGAUCAAGGCCUGUGACUCGACUUGGACCCAUUGGGUGUUUUCUGUUGUUUUUUUGCACUACCUCAUCGCCAUAGCAAGUCGAACAGGAUUGAAAAGGUGAUCAGUACAAGUAGCCUCAUGGUUGUAACGCGCCACAGCAGUUUUCUACGCCGUGAAGUCCGUUUAUUUUCCAUGCACAUGGUGCUCGCCGUUCAUUCAAUCGACACCGAUGCACCCAGACUGUGUCGUCCUAUGCAUCCGUUUUGUACUUUUCUUUCCUUGUAUUUCCUUUGUGAAGUCUACAGAUUACAUGUAGAGGAAGAAACCAAAUUGGCACGACUCCCCUGCUGAUGCAUUUAUUGAGAUUGAUGAAAUUUGGCAAGUUGUAGUUUUAUACUAACUUCAUCCAAGCCCCUCAACUUUAAUUUGCCUUCUGCACAAUUUUCAUUUUUUGCAAAUUAUUAUUAUUUUUUUUUAAUUCCUAAAGGAAACCCUGGUCUCACUUUUUUUUUAAAUACAUGAUUUCCACAAAAGAAAUCCAUUAUUACCGGGAUGUGUGCAAUAUUUGAUCCUAACUGUCAUGUUGUUGACCAAACUGUAUAUUGUAUAAACAAGUGACAAGUUGUUUGAAAGCAACAAAAUCACCAAUGUCUUCCAUUAAGAUAUGUAUAGACUCAUGUGCAUUAGCUUAUUUAGCAGGACUGUGGUGCCAACAUUAGUAGCCAUGCAUGAUAAGUAGUGACGCUUGCUUCAUGAAGAAUAGUGAAAUCAACUUCUAGACUGACCCACAUUUAAAAGGUCACGCCACGCCAGGAUACGGUUUUACCCUGAACUUCGAUCCAAAAUAUUUCCUUCUGAUCCCAAUGAGGAAACAGACCAAGUGUUUGAUUUUCGCGAAGCUGUUUAUGACAGACCCUGCACUCAGCCUAAAACCAGUGCAGGUUGCAAUGCUUUGCUGCAGAGGCCUUCCCUAAAAGGCCAUUUGAUACUGUAGCUCCCCCUAGUGGAACGUCAGGGUAACUCAGGGGUGUCAAGCUCAUUUUAGUUUCAAGGCCUCAAACAGCCUAACCUGGACUUGAGUGGAUCAGGAUGUUAAAAUAUCAUAAGUUUGAAAUCUAAACUUUAAAGUUUUUCUUUGUUGUAGUGCAGUAUAGAUACAAUAAUUUUGGAAAACCCAAAAAUGACUAGAAUCUCAACAUAAAGCCAACAAAACAUUCUUUUACAAACUAAAGUCAAAUGUCAAAAUAAAAAAAAUUUAAAAAACUCACUUGGUUUUUUUACAAACUCACCCUGGCUUUAAGGAUUGCUUGCUACUCUUCAAAAAAUGUGUUAAAAAUGCAUCUUUGAAAUGUUUAAAAUUUGCUUGGUGGGCCGUUUUUGGCACGCGGGCCUUAUGUUUGACACCCCUGGAUUACGUCUUCACCGUGAAACUAUUCUCAUCCGAGUUGCAGAGAUGCGAUGUGGCGAUUGAGAGCGGCGAGAAUCUGAUGUUUCACUCCCUCGCCGUGACGUUGCUUUGUACAUAGUACCUCAUAGUUUUGGGAUUCAGAGCACUCGAUUUUAAUCCAUAAAAUUGUAUUUGAUUAGAUUUUUAGAAGCAAUAAUCUACAAUAAUGCAUGAGUUUAGUGCCAGGGUGUAAAUGUGUAAAGGAUUCUCUAAUGUCACAUGGAAAGGAUCCCCCUCAUUCUUUAAUGCCGACGCAAGCUUUUCUUUAGAAGUCAUAUAAUUGGCUUUAAUAAAAAAAAAAAAAGCGUAUAACUGUAGCAUCCCGACAAAUCUAGCCGCUUGUUUUGCCUGCCUUCGAUUCCUUAAACACCAAAAGUCAUGUUUAACCACCGGUACAUGAGAGAUGCUUUAAAUUCAACUUCUUGUAGCAUUUUCACGACCCACCCUCUUCCUUUAGGAACACAGACUUUUCAGUGACUCUGUGGCUGCAAAGGACUUACUGAACGAACUUGACACUUGUUUGAAAAAGCACUUUCUCUCGAUGUACUGACUUGCACCAUCAUCCUCCUCAUCACCAUCCUCUCUUGAAUACUGUGUUCUUGAAACCCUGUAAUGCUCUCUCCGGGGAUUUAUAAUCACAAUUUAUAAGCAAGUAGACAUCUAGCAACAAGAAUAUAUGGGUUUAAAAAAAAAAAUUAUGCAUGACUUUAGCAGAAUAUUGAAUGAUUUGUAUUGCAUGCAAUAAUCCAACUUUGUAAUGUGAACGAGUGUAAUUAGGGUAUGGAGAUGUUCAUAUCUGUGACGACGUGUUUAACACAAACGACAAGAAGCACGCCGGAGCAGAUCCCGCCGCCGUGCGCGGUUCGGACUGCUCCCAGGUGAUGCAAACAGCACCAAAAAAAAAAAAAAAAAACAGAAAAAAGGAGAGUGUUUUCUGCUCUCAGUGCAGCUGAGAAACACACAUCAGCCUUUUAUUCCCUUCAGAAGAAACUAAAGCUUCAGUUCGAGUAUUGACAAUACUUUGAUCAACUUUUCCACCGAGGUGGACUGUGUAGAAACUAUGCACUCAGAGGGAGGAAACGGGCAUGCUUAUUCUGUGUGAGCCUCUUGUCUGGUUUUGUAUUAACUUAAAAAAAAAAAAGAUAAAAGAAAUUCAGCAAUAAAAUGAUGCAGCAUGG